RNAcentral lists this ribosomal RNA (422 nucleotides) under uncultured bacterium. RNAcentral's name for it is "bacterial SSU rRNA". It matches the Rfam family "Bacterial small subunit ribosomal RNA", at positions 356 to 774 of the family's 1533-position model. The record is from RNAcentral.
AGGGAAUAUUGGACAAUGGGGGGAACCCUGAUCCAGCCAUGCCGCGUGGAGGAAGACUGCCCUCUGGGUUGUAAACUCCUUUUAUAUGGGAAGAACCGUCCUCAUUGAUGAGUGACCUGACGGUACCAUAGGAAUAAGCACCGGCUAACUCCGUGCCAGCAGCCGCGGUAAUACGGAGGGUGCAAGCGUUAUCCGGAUUCACUGGGUUUAAAGGGUGCGUAGGCGGAUAUGUAAGUCAGUGGUGAAAUCAACGGGCUCAACCUGUUAACUGCCAUUGAUACUGUGUAUCUUGAAUAUGAGAGAGGUAGGCGGAAUGUUGCAUGUAGCGUUGAAAUGCUUAGAUAUGCUACGGAACACCGAUUGCGAAGGCAGCUUACUAUUUCGUAAUUGACGCUGAGGCACGAAAGCGUGGGUAGCGAACA